RNAcentral lists this ribosomal RNA (316 nucleotides) under uncultured bacterium. Its description in RNAcentral is "partial 16S ribosomal RNA". It matches the Rfam family "Bacterial small subunit ribosomal RNA", at positions 54 to 365 of the family's 1533-position model. The record is from RNAcentral.
AAUGCAGUCGAACGAUUAACUUUCCUUCGGGAAAGAUAUAAAGUGGCGCACGCCCCNUNNAANGNCGGUAGGUAAUGUGCCUUUGGGUGGGGAAUAACCCNUGGAAACUUAAGCUAAUACCGCACAAUGCAGCGGCUUCUUCGGAAGACAGUUGNUAAAGAUUUAUCGCCUAUAGAGNAGCCUGCGGCANAUUAGCUAGUUGGUAAGGUAAUGGCUUNCCAAGGCUACGAUCUGNAACCGACCUGAGAGGGUGGUCGGUCACACUGACACNGANUAACGGGUCAGANUCCUACGGGAGGCAGCAGCCUNGAAUUUU